GAUGAAUGCUGGCGGCGUGCCUAACACAUGCAAGUCGAGCGGCAGCGACGGGUGCUUGCACGCUCUCGGCGAUAGGCCAACGGCUGAGUACCGUGGAGUAAUUUUCCCCAACGUGAGGAAUAACUACCCGAAAGGGUAGCUAAUGCCGCAUAUGGUCUUCGGAUUAGAGGAUUUAUCCGCUUUGGGAGAAGCCUGCGUUGGAUUAGGUUGUUGGUAGGGUAAUGGCCUACCAAGCCGACGAUCCAUAGCUGGCCUGAGAGGAUGAUCAGCCAGACUGGAACUGAGACACGGCCCAGACUCCUACGGGAGGCAGCAGUGGGGAAUCUUCGACAAUGGGCGAAAGCCUGAUGGAGCAACGCCGCGUGAAGGAUGAAGGCCUUAGGGUUGUAAAGCUCUUUUAUGAGUGAAGAAUAUGACGGUACCGGAUGAAUAAGCACCGGCUAACUACGUA
RNAcentral lists this ribosomal RNA (451 nucleotides) under uncultured bacterium. RNAcentral's name for it is "partial 16S ribosomal RNA". It matches the Rfam family "Bacterial small subunit ribosomal RNA", at positions 28 to 507 of the family's 1533-position model. The record is from RNAcentral.